GACAGUAGAGAUCGCCCUCACAGCUCUGAUGUACGUUCAUUUCCGAUGGAAAAUAUAAGAGCGCGCUGUAUCAGUUCCUUUGAAUGUACUCUUGAAUGAGCUGCUGUGUGGUGACGAUGGCAGUUGGCAUUUGACUUUCACUCCUUUACGUGGCGUAGGCUGCCAGCGUGCUUCCGUCAUGCCUAUGUAGACUGCACGGGGCUGGGUUGUGUCUGGUGAUAAUGCUACAAGGAUCGUAAAGCAGGCGUGUUAAGCGCAUUUGUCCCGCGCCAUGUGCGCCUAAAGGAGGAAGGCGAAAGCAAAACGGUGAGAAUUGGUGUUCAAGCCUGCAUCAAUGUUGUGCCGUUUCAGGGUUGUGGAUACGUGCACGUGUAGUUCCCAUUGUGUUUGUUUGCGGUGCACCUGUCCUGUGUGUGUGUUUUUAUUAUGUAUGUUGAUUAGUUUGCGUGGGAACCAGUGCCAUAGGUGUUGCCUGUUAUGUUGAUGCGCACGUGAAUGCGGCGAUGCCGACCAGGAUGAUGCAGCCUUUUGGAUGAGUGCUGAAUGGCGUUGCCAGGCGAUGGCAAAACUAGUUGCGCGAUGCCAUGAGACAGGGGCACUGGAUGUUGUGUGUGUGUGUGUGUGUUACAUGGUCGUGGGUGCGUUCCCCGUACCUGCAAACCGCCCUAAUACGAGCCGAGGGCUCAAGGGCUGCCAGAUCGCCUACAAGCACCAUCCUACCUCGCACUUUAGAGCAAGUGAUAAAGGAUGUGGAACGAUGGCGAUUGAGCCGGAUUCGACUAACGUCUGAUUAUGUACCAUACCAUUGUGUGUCCUGAGCUCUUGCUCCUUGCAUAUAUCCGUUUGAUGGAUUCUGAAUGUCGUAGUUGUGCUGACGCUGUCAAUCGUACCUAUUGCCCCUUUCCGCCAAGUACUCAGGCAGAAGCUGCUGAAGGGGUUGGCUGCAACUGCGUACCCUGGUCACAGCUAUUGAGCUAAAAACUUCUGUUGUUCAGAUGCGGUCCGGGCGAGCAUCGCCCCCAGGGGCAGAGAUUGUGUUUCGCCGGGGGCAGCGUGCAGGUAUGUGAGUGUUGUAGUCAACAGCUAUGAUGGGUGGCCGACGCGUGGUGUGCCUUGUUUAGUCAGACGGAGAGCCCCCUCGCAACCUACUAUAUUUUGUCUGCGCGUUCCCCUCGUCCUUUGAUGCGUGUGGUGGGCCGGGGCGACGAAUGCCAGCGGGCGGUGGGCCGGGACCGGCAUGGCAUGCCCUGCUGUGUGCUCCGUGCUGCUCGCUGAGGAUGCGGAACGCCGGUGUGCCAGCAAUUGCAAUCCUUCAGAAGGUUGAGGAAAGCUGAGCAGAGUUCAGCUCGAUGUAUUUCGAACAGCUGGCAUGCAGGUCUGGGCUGGCCACGGGUACAAGGCGCAAUGAUUCAGCGUUUAGUUAGCAUAAUCCGAGGCUUUGCUAGGGCCCGUGCCCUUGAUGUCGAGUCUCCUCAGUAAAGCGAUCUUAAGUAGUGCUGCCGGUAAUUUUGGUGCUGGUAGUUGGCAGGUAUUGGCAGGUGGAGGCUUCAGAGCUAUGGUUCAAGAAUAGUGGGGCUACUAUCCCGACGCUUUAAUGCUGUUGUAAGCUAUACCUCACGACUGGGUAAAAAUAAUCUCUACGGCGUUUAGUUGUGGGUAUGUCUGUUGACUUAUGCAGCGCUACCGUAUGGGCAUAACGCUGCAUACCGUAUGGGCAUGUUAAGUGCACGCGGCUCGUGUUCGACAUGUGCAUGUCAUACACCGCUGGAGACACACUUUCGCCCGUGGUUUAUGCGGUGUGGUGGCGAACCGUGUUGCGUGAUGGGAGCACUACGGCGGCAUUGAUGCAUGUACGUAGUUUCGUACAUAAAAGAUGUGACGACGACAGCAGCUGAAGAUGCUUGCAUUAGGUCUUCCGUGGGUUGCUAUGAACCAUGCCGCCUGUCCCUCACGCGAAUUGCGCCUAACCAAGCAUCCGCGCUGUGGUGCCAUGCGCUGUGGAGCAAAAGUAGCUGCAGUACCGGUACUGAUCCGGAAGUUACGAAAGGGGACGAGUCCAUCAACUUCCAAUGGGAUAUAUCGUUUUGCCAUCGGGUUAAGUCUCGGCGGCUCCAUCUGUCGACAGUCUUGCGUUGGAACUCCAGGAGUAAGCUGGUUAGCGGCAUUCACGUCCGUUCACAAUUUUGAGACACAAACUCCGUUGAACGCAUUUCACGCGCGCUGGAAACCACAUUGCUGUGGUUUGUGCGUUAUCUUCCACUUCGGCGGACUUGCAGGAAACAGAACGGCUGGCGUGCCGACAGCCUGCAGCUAGCGCGGUUUGGCUCGCGGCUGGGGAAAUCAGCUUUCUGUCAUUUAUUAACCGACACACAACAACGGCUUUCAACUUAAGUUUAUUGCUCAGUCCUGCCGUGUUGCGUUACAAUAGCUAAGCCGCCAACCGCCAGCGCAAUUUGGUAGCAAAACAACCCGGCUGCGAAACCCCCUCCCAACACCAACCCAUUGAGAAAGUUGCACUAGUGGCCGAUAGUGCUGGCAGUUACCUGUGUUGCACCGUUAACGAAUCCUAGGACCUCAAGGGCCCCGGCAAGGGCCGAAGAGCCACACGAGGCCCGCUGCGACAAAACCAGGGACCGCUGCAUUGUGGCAACCCCCGGGAUUGCCCUGUGUGGGUGGGGGAUACGACGAGGCACAGACGAUUGAUGAGAAUAAGAACAUAGACGGGUACUCCAAGAUUAGACCAAUAAUACAGGACGAUCAGUAAGAUACUGACCCGUUGGUGGGUGAGGGGAAACUAGAGGACACUGUCCCAGCAGCGGGACACACCUCAUGGUGAUAGCCAGAACAGCGGCAGUUAGAGAAGCAAUGCGCCUGUGGGACCCAAGUAGAAGCUUUUGGAGUCCCCUGCCGUAUUGUGGUCCGGCACAUGCAUGCAUGCGCCCUGCUUCCACGCACCACGGCAGUUCCUUCGCAAUAACUUGCGUAUCGAUACACUCAUACUUCGCUUCGAGAAGUCAAAGCUGCACCAGAUCCCUAAAAGGGGUUAGUAGUGGAGGGGUUUUGCGGCGCCUAAUAGCAUUCUGUAGUAUCCAACCUUGAUGACCUUGGACUCUUGGUUGCAUGAAAAUUUGGCAAACUUGGCAACUGCAAUCAACAUCCAGUGCUUCCGACAGGUACCUUCUAUAAACAGGACAAAAGGCAGCACGCGGAAACACCAUAGUUCAGCUACAGCGAGCCGUGGGCCAGCUGCAGUAGCUGCAAUGCCCAGGAUUUGCAGAACUAACAUGUAACAUGAUCAAGAACCGGUAAUAACGUCAGAGCUGGCGUUGUCGCGGAGAACCAACGCAGGAGGAAUUCUUACAGUUUCGGCCAAACGCCAUGCAUUCUGCCAGGCGAAUAUACAUUUGUGUUAAAAUGUGAUAUUUGGAUGUUGCAUCGAAAGCGAGGCGUCGGAGUUGCUCACGGAGUUGAUUCUGUUGGAGACCUUACCCUCAGGCAGGACACUCAACACCCUUCCAGGCCACAAGUAAAAAUUUGGUACAAACUGACGCAGCUCUUCUG
RNAcentral lists this long non-coding RNA (3561 nucleotides) under Volvox carteri. RNAcentral's name for it is "long non-coding RNA (VCAR_LNC000629)". Lineage: Eukaryota; Viridiplantae; Chlorophyta; Chlorophyceae; Chlamydomonadales; Volvocaceae. The record is from RNAcentral.